Molecule: ribosomal RNA, 253 nt
Filed under: uncultured bacterium
Lineage: Bacteria
Description: partial 16S ribosomal RNA
Rfam family: Bacterial small subunit ribosomal RNA
Source: RNAcentral
UACGGAGGGUGCAAGCAUUGAUCGGAAUUACUGGGCGUAAAGGGCGCGUAGGCGGUCGAGAAAGUCAGAUGUGAAAUUCCGGGGCUCAACCCCGGGGCUGCAUUUGAAACUUCUCAACUAGAGGAUGGUUAGGGAAAACGGAAUUCCACGUGUAGCGGUGAAAUGCGUAGAUAUGUGGAAGAACACCAGUGGUGAAGACGGUUUUCUGGGCCAAACCUGACGCUGAGGCGCGAAAGCUAGGGGAGCAAACAGG